CCGGCGGGCCGGGGGAUGGCGCUGCUGGACCUGGCCCUGGAGGGAAUGGCCGUCUUCGGUUUCGUCCUCUUCUUGGUGCUGUGGCUGAUGCAUUUCAUGGCUAUCAUCUACACCCGAUUACACCUCAACAAGAAGGCAACUGACAAACAGCCUUAUAGCAAGCUCCCAGGUGUCUCUCUUCUGAAACCACUGAAAGGGGUAGAUCCUAACUUAAUCAACAACCUGGAAACAUUCUUUGAAUUGGAUUAUCCCAAACCUUUAUUUUUCUCGGUAGCACCAAUGAAAAGAAUAGAGAAGACACAGAUGUGAUAGCCUUAAUGCAGCACUUAUUAAUAUGAAGUGCUCCUUUGUGUACAAGAUCAUGAUGAUCCAGCCAUUGAUGUAUGUAAGAAGCUUCUUGGAAAAUAUCCAAAUGUUGAUGCUAGAUUGUUUAUAGGUGGCAAAAAAGUUGGCAUUAAUCCUAAAAUUAAUAAUUUAAUGCCAGGAUAUGAAGUUGCAAAGUAUGAUCUUAUAUGGAUUUGUGAUAGUGGAAUAAGAGUAAUUCCAGAUACGCUUACUGAUAUGGUGAAUCAAAUGACAGA
Molecule: small RNA, 581 nt
Filed under: Pan troglodytes (chimpanzee)
Lineage: Eukaryota; Metazoa; Chordata; Mammalia; Primates; Hominidae
Description: processed transcript
Source: RNAcentral